This 837-nucleotide ribosomal RNA is filed under the name marine bacterium HP2. RNAcentral describes it as "bacterial SSU rRNA". It matches the Rfam family "Bacterial small subunit ribosomal RNA", at positions 575 to 1426 of the family's 1533-position model. Lineage: Bacteria; Pseudomonadati; Bacteroidota; Cytophagia; Cytophagales; Cytophagaceae. The record is from RNAcentral.
GCGCGCCAUUAAGUCAGGGUGAAAGUCUGCAGCUCAACUGUAGAAUUGCCCUUGAUACUGGUGUCUUGAGUUAUAGUGAAGUAACUAGAAUAUGUAGUGUAGCGUGAAAUGCAUAGAUAUUACAUAGAAUACCGAUUGCGAAGGCAGGUUACUAACUAUAUACUGACGCUGAUGACGAAGCGUGGGGAGCGAACAGGAUUAGAUACCCUGUAGUCCACGCCGUAAACGAUGGAUACUAGCUGUCCGGAUGCAAAUCUGGCGGCCAAGCGAAAGUGAUAAGUAUCCCACCUGGGGAGUACGUCCGCAAGGAUGAAACUCAAAGGAAUUGACGGGGGCCGCACAAGCGGUGGAGCAUGUGGUUUAAUUCGAUGAUACGCGAGGAACCUUACCAGGGCUUAAAUGUGGUCUGACAGCUUUAGAGAUAGAGUUUCUUCGGGCAGAUCACAAGGUGCUGCAUGGUUGUCGUCAGCUCGUGCCGUGAGGUGUCAGGUUAAGUCCUAUAACGAGCGCAACCCCUGCCGUUAGUUGCCAGCAUGUAAUGAUGGGGACUCUAACGGGACUGCCGGUGCAAACCGCGAGGAAGGUGGGGAUGACGUCAAAUCAUCACGGCCCUUACGUCCUGGGCCACACACGUGCUACAAUGGCCGGUACAGAGAGCAGCCACUGGGCAACCAGGAGCGAAUCUAUAAAACCGGUCACAGUUCGGAUCGGGGUCUGCAACUCGACCCCGUGAAGCUGGAAUCGCUAGUAAUCGGAUAUCAGCCAUGAUCCGGUGAAUACGUUCCCGGGCCUUGUACACACCGCCCGUCAAGCCAUGGAAGCUGGGAGUGCCUGAAG